RNAcentral lists this ribosomal RNA (241 nucleotides) under uncultured bacterium. RNAcentral describes it as "partial 16S ribosomal RNA". It matches the Rfam family "Bacterial small subunit ribosomal RNA", at positions 94 to 334 of the family's 1533-position model. The record is from RNAcentral.
AGCGGCGGACGGGGGAGUAACGCGUGGGUAACCGUGCCUCAUACAGGGGGAUAACAGUUGGAAACGGCUGCUAAUACCGCAUAAGCGCACAGUACCGCAUGGUACGGUGUGAAAAACUCCGGUGGUAUGAGAUGGACCCGCGUCUGAUUAGGUAGUUGGUGGGGUAACGGCCUACCAAGCCGACGAUCAGUAGCCGACCUGAGAGGGUGACCGGCCACAUUGGGACUGAGACACGGCCCAA